UUUCUUAUGGAGAGUUUGAUCCUGGCUCAGGACGAACGCUUGCGGCGUGCCUAAGAAAUGCAAGUCGAGCGAGGUUAGGACUUCGGUCCGAAGCCUAGCGGCGAACGGUCGCGUAACACGUAAGCAACCUGCCCUGGAGUGGGGUAUAGCCCGCCGAAAGGCGGAUUAAUACCGCAUGUGGAUGCUUUCUCGCAUGUGAUUGCAUCUAAAGCAGCAAUGCGCUCCAGGAUGGGCUUGCGGCCUAUCAGCUAGUUGGUGGGGUAACGGCUCACCAAGGCGACGACGGGUAGCUGGUCUGAGAGGAUGGUCAGCCGGACUGGGA
This 322-nucleotide ribosomal RNA is filed under the name Armatimonadota bacterium. RNAcentral describes it as "bacterial SSU rRNA". It matches the Rfam family "Bacterial small subunit ribosomal RNA", at positions 1 to 318 of the family's 1533-position model. The record is from RNAcentral. Lineage: Bacteria; Bacillati; Armatimonadota.